Solanum tuberosum (potato) is the source of this 684-nucleotide long non-coding RNA. RefSeq lists it as uncharacterized. The transcript has 2 exons. The record is from RefSeq and is a predicted model, not a curated record. Lineage: Eukaryota; Viridiplantae; Streptophyta; Magnoliopsida; Solanales; Solanaceae.
AAAUGCAAUAAGUGAUCCAUAAUUCUUUUCACCAAACACCAAUACAUAAUUCUCACUUAUAAUUUUCAGAAAACUCAUUAGUUUCACACUACAAUUCUUUUUGAAAGAAUUAUGAGGCCAACUAUUAUAGUUUCAUGUCUAUUGAUAUUUUUGUUCAUCCAUGAAUUUUCUAGUAGCCUUUGUGGUGAAGCAAGGUCCCUUCAAUAUUCUUCCUAUAAUGAAUUGUUUAAAUCUCAUCAACACAUGGUGGCUAGAGAGCUAAGAGGUUUAAAGAGAAGAAUCAUACCAAAACCAUCACCACCAAAACCUAAUGUGGAAAUUCAUUGGAGUCCCCCUCCUCCUCUUGAUCAACCUCCACCACCAGGGUCGGAGAUACAGUAUUAGUAACUAAGACGAGAUAACAAGUUUAAUAAACUUCGAAUUCUGUUCCAUCUCUAUCCGCAAGCUUCAACAAGAUGCUACCCAUAGUCCACCAUGCUCAUCGCCACUAUGCUGUUAAUAGUCCCAUGGUUCAGAGAGGUGAAAUCAGGAUUUGAAGCUUGUAGGUUCAAUUAUUGUGUUUUUUUAGUAGCUAUUAAUUGGUUUUGUUUUGUUUCUUUUUGUAUGAGUGCUUGUAUUUUGAUUUUUGGAGGAAGGGUUUGUAAUAAAACUUUCAAUUUUUAGGUAUCGAUAAAUUCUAAUUUU